This 440-nucleotide ribosomal RNA is filed under the name uncultured bacterium. RNAcentral describes it as "partial 16S ribosomal RNA". It matches the Rfam family "Bacterial small subunit ribosomal RNA", at positions 338 to 795 of the family's 1533-position model. The record is from RNAcentral.
CCUACGGGAGGCAGCAGUGGGGAAUAUUGCACAAUGGGGGAAACCCUGAUGCAGCGACGCCGCGUGAGUGAAGAAUUAUCUCGGUAUGUAAAGCUCUAUCAGUAGGGAAGUAAAUGACGGUACCUGAUUCAGAAGCCCCGGCUAACUACGUGCCAGCAGCCGCGGUACUACGUAGGGGGCAAGCGUUAUCCGGAUUUACUGGGUGUAAAGGGAGCGUAGACGGCAGGACAAGUCAGGAGUGAAAUGCCGGGGCUUAACCCUGGAACUGCAUGGGAAACUGUGCAGCUAGAGUGCAGGAGAGGUAAGUGGAAUUCGUGGUGUAGCGGUGAAAUGCGUAGAUAUUAGGAGGAACCCCAGUGGCGAAGGCGGCUUACUGGACUGUAACUGACGUUGAGGCUCGAAAGCGUGGGGAGCAAACAGGAUUAGAUACCCUGGUAGUC